This 1196-nucleotide ribosomal RNA is filed under the name metagenome. Its description in RNAcentral is "bacterial SSU rRNA". It matches the Rfam family "Bacterial small subunit ribosomal RNA", at positions 320 to 1520 of the family's 1533-position model. The record is from RNAcentral.
UGAGACACGGCCCAGACUCCUACGGGAGGCAGCAGUGGGGAAUAUUGCGCAAUGGGCGAAAGCCUGACGCAGCGACGCCGCGUGGGGGAUGACGGCCUUCGGGUUGUAAACCUCUUUCAGCAGGGACGAAGUUGACGUGUACCUGCAGAAGAAGCGCCGGCUAACUACGUGCCAGCAGCCGCGGUAAUACGUAGGGCGCAAGCGUUGUCCGGAAUUAUUGGGCGUAAAGAGCUCGUAGGUGGCUUGUCACGUCGGGUGUGAAAGCUUGGGGCUUAACUCCAGGUCUGCAUUCGAUACGGGCUGGCUAGAGGUAGGUAGGGGAGAACGGAAUUCCUGGUGUAGCGGUGAAAUGCGCAGAUAUCAGGAGGAACACCGGUGGCGAAGGCGGUUCUCUGGGCCUUACCUGACGCUGAGGAGCGAAAGCGUGGGGAGCGAACAGGAUUAGAUACCCUGGUAGUCCACGCUGUAAACGUUGGGCGCUAGGUGUGGGGACCUUCCACGGUUUCCGCGCCGUAGCUAACGCAUUAAGCGCCCCGCCUGGGGAGUACGGCCGCAAGGCUAAAACUCAAAGGAAUUGACGGGGGCCCGCACAAGCGGCGGAGCAUGUUGCUUAAUUCGACGCAACGCGAAGAACCUUACCAAGGCUUGACAUUGCCCGGAAACACUCAGAGAUGGGUGCCUCUUCGGAUCGGGUGACAGGUGGUGCAUGGCUGUCGUCAGCUCGUGUCGUGAGAUGUUGGGUUAAGUCCCGCAACGAGCGCAACCCUUGUUCAAUGUUGCCAGCACGCUCCUUCGGGGGUGGUGGGGACUCAUUGGAGACUGCCGGGGUCAACUCGGAGGAAGGUGGGGAUGACGUCAAGUCAUCAUGCCCCUUAUGUCUUGGGCUGCAAACAUGCUACAAUGGCCGGUACAGAGGGCUGCGAUACCGCAAGGUGGAGCGAAUCCCUAAAAGCCGGUCUCAGUUCGGAUUGGGGUCUGCAACUCGACCCCAUGAAGUCGGAGUCGCUAGUAAUCGCAGAUCAGCAACGCUGCGGUGAAUACGUUCCCGGGCCUUGUACACACCGCCCGUCACGUCACGAAAGUCGGCAACACCCGAAGCCCGUGGCCCAACCAGCUUGCUGGGGGGAGCGGUCGAAGGUGGGGCUGGCGAUUGGGACGAAGUCGGAACAAGGUAGCCGUACCGGAAGGUGCGGCUG